Molecule: ribosomal RNA, 253 nt
Filed under: uncultured bacterium
Lineage: Bacteria
Description: partial 16S ribosomal RNA
Rfam family: Bacterial small subunit ribosomal RNA
Source: RNAcentral
CACGUAGGGCGCGAGCGUUGUUCGGAAUUACUGGGCGUAAAGCGCACGUAGGCGGCUUUGUAAGUUAGAGGUGAAAGCCCGGGGCUCAACUCCGGAAUUGCCUUUAAGACUGCAUCGCUAGAAUUGUGGAGAGGUAAGUGGAAUUCCGAGUGUAGAGGUGAAAUUCGUAGAUAUUCGGAAGAACACCAGUGGCGAAGGCGACUUACUGGACACAUAUUGACGCUGAGGUGCGAAAGCGUGGGGAGCAAACAGG